This 736-nucleotide ribosomal RNA is filed under the name Bacillus subtilis. Its description in RNAcentral is "bacterial SSU rRNA". It matches the Rfam family "Bacterial small subunit ribosomal RNA", at positions 69 to 787 of the family's 1533-position model. The record is from RNAcentral. Lineage: Bacteria; Bacillati; Bacillota; Bacilli; Caryophanales; Bacillaceae.
GGAUUAAGAGCUUGCUCUUAUGAAGUUAGCGGCGGACGGGUGAGUAACACGUGGGUAACCUGCCCAUAAGACUGGGAUAACUCCGGGAAACCGGGGCUAAUACCGGAUAACAUUUUGAACCGCAUGGUUCGAAAUUGAAAGGCGGCUUCGGCUGUCACUUAUGGAUGGACCCGCGUCGCAUAAGCUAGUUGGUGAGGUAACGGCUCACCAAGGCAACGAUGCGUAGCCGACCUGAGAGGGUGAUCGGCCACACUGGGACUGAGACACGGCCCAGACUCCUACGGGAGGCAGCAGUAGGGAAUCUUCCGCAAUGGACGAAAGUCUGACGGAGCAACGCCGCGUGAGUGAUGAAGGCUUUCGGGUCGUAAAACUCUGUUGUUAGGGAAGAACAAGUGCUAGUUGAAUAAGCUGGCACCUUGACGGUACCUAACCAGAAAGCCACGGCUAACUACGUGCCAGCAGCCGCGGUAAUACGUAGGUGGCAAGCGUUAUCCGGAAUUAUUGGGCGUAAAGCGCGCGCAGGUGGUUUCUUAAGUCUGAUGUGAAAGCCCACGGCUCAACCGUGGAGGGUCAUUGGAAACUGGGAGACUUGAGUGCAGAAGAGGAAAGUGGAAUUCCAUGUGUAGCGGUGAAAUGCGUAGAGAUAUGGAGGAACACCAGUGGCGAAGGCGACUUUCUGGUCUGUAACUGACACUGAGGCGCGAAAGCGUGGGGGAGCAAACAGGAUUAGAUACCC